CAUCGCCCGGGAACUACGAGCUAAGCUUAAAACCCAAAGGACUUGACGGUACCCCAUAUCCCCCUAGAGGAGCCUGUCCUAUAAUCGAUAACCCCCGCUUAACCUCACCAUUUUUUGCUAAUCAGCCUGUAUACCUCCGUCGUCAGCUUACCACGUGAGCGCUAGUGAGCCCAAUGUUUUUCCAACUAUACGUCAGGUCAAGGUGCAACAUAUAAAAUGGAAAGAGAUGGGCUACACUUUCUACCAUAGAAUAAACGAAAGACUAAAUGAAACCUGGUCAGAAGGCGGAUUUAGUAGUAAAAUGAAACUAGAGCGUUCAUUUAAAUACGGCACUGGGGUGUGUACACACCGCCCGUCACCCUCCUCAACUCUGCGUAAAAGUUUUUAACACCUUUUAGAGAUUCAGAAGAGGCAAGUCGUAACACGGUAAG
RNAcentral lists this ribosomal RNA (431 nucleotides) under Ameerega macero (Manu poison frog). Its description in RNAcentral is "partial 12S ribosomal RNA". It matches the Rfam family "Bacterial small subunit ribosomal RNA", at positions 867 to 1500 of the family's 1533-position model. The record is from RNAcentral. Lineage: Eukaryota; Metazoa; Chordata; Amphibia; Anura; Dendrobatidae.